RNAcentral lists this transfer RNA (69 nucleotides) under Erymnochelys madagascariensis. RNAcentral's name for it is "transfer RNA-His". It matches the Rfam family "tRNA". From Rfam's summary of the family: Transfer RNA (tRNA) molecules are approximately 80 nucleotides in length. Their secondary structure includes four short double-helical elements and three loops (D, anti-codon, and T loops). Lineage: Eukaryota; Metazoa; Chordata; Testudines; Podocnemididae. The record is from RNAcentral.
GCAUAUGUUAACAUAGUUUAAUAAAACACACUAGAUUGUGGAUCUAGAAAUAGAGGUUUUAUCCCUCUU